AGUGAACGCUGGCGGUAGGCCUAACACAUGCAAGUCGAACGGCAGCACAGUAAGAGCUUGCUCUUACGGGUGGCGAGUGGCGGACGGGUGAGGAAUACAUCGGAAUCUACUUUUUCGUGGGGGAUAACGUAGGGAAACUUACGCUAAUACCGCAUACGACCUACGGGUGAAAGCAGGGGAUCUUCGGACCUUGCGCGAUUGAAUGAGCCGAUGUCGGAUUAGCUAGUUGGCGGGGUAACGGCCCACCAAGUCGACGAUCCGUAGCUGGUCUGAGAGGAUGAUCAGCCACACUGGAACUGAGACACGGUCCAGACUCCUACGGGAGGCAGCAGUGGGGAAUAUUGGACAAUGGGCGCAAGCCUGAUCCAGCCAUACCGCGUGGGUGAAGAAGGCCUUCGGGUUGUAAAGCCCUUUUGUUGGGAAAGAAAAGCAGCAGGUUAAUACCCCGCUGUUCUGACGGUACCCAAAGAAUAAGCACCGGCUAACUUCGUG
Molecule: ribosomal RNA, 492 nt
Filed under: uncultured bacterium
Lineage: Bacteria
Description: partial 16S ribosomal RNA
Rfam family: Bacterial small subunit ribosomal RNA
Source: RNAcentral